This 1082-nucleotide long non-coding RNA is filed under the name Felis catus (domestic cat). RNAcentral describes it as "lncRNA (ENSFCAG00000052701.1)". Lineage: Eukaryota; Metazoa; Chordata; Mammalia; Carnivora; Felidae. The record is from RNAcentral.
UCAUUGUUCUGUAAGUGCUGAAGACUUCUGACUCAGGCCUUCUUUAGCGUCUGAUGGCUUGAACUCGCCUGCUCCAAGUGGGUCACAAUCCACUUUUGAAAUGGAAAUGAAGUCUGCAUGGCAGCCUCACCCUCAGAGCCCUGGGACCCAGGCCCAGCCAGGGCACCGCAGAGCCUGGUGUUAUAAAUUUCUGCGUAGAUCUGAGAGCAGUUUUAGGCCAUUGAUCUCAUGUCACCCAGAAUCGAGAUGGAGUGACGGCUGAUAAACUGCAUGGUGACAGGCUGCGGCCUUGGAAGAAAAAAGUCUAGAUGUGGGAUAAAAGAAAAAAAAAGCUGAUGGAUUCGUUAUCGGCCUCCCAAUUCUUCUCAUCCUGGAUUAUUUCCGAACACUUUAGAAGCAUUUAUUUUCAGCCCCCAACAGGAGGAAACCCAGCCUGGGGUCAAGGCCUAGAGGAUCCACAGAGACUUGCAAAUGGGCUACAAGGUAGGGGAGAUACACAGCUGUUAAACCUGGUAAUAUUAGCACAGAUGUCAAACUUGGUGACAUCUAUCUAUCUAUCUAUCUUUCAUCAUGUGUCUAUCUUAUUCUUGUUCUUACUACUUCCCAUUCUAACAGGUAGUCAGAUUCUUGGUAUUUUCUGGACUAUGAGGUUUUUUCCUGGGAAGAAAAUAGAAGCUGCUUGAAGAGCCAGAGAGGAAGCUGAGAAGGGGUAUGCUUCUGGGAGUCUGAAUGAGGGUGUGGUUGGAGCCUUCCCUCUGUUAGGAAAGUAGUAGGUGGCUGUGCCCUGGUGAGGGUGCCCGGCCUUGUAGAGAGUAGCAUGUCUAGGUAGCAUGCCUCUCUGGGUCUCUCAGCUUCAUCUGAAGGGACCAUAUGGUGUCCCAGUACACCCACUGUGACUCAUCAAUGGGCAUUGCUACAGAAACCCCUGGGACCUUUGCUCAAAUCUGGGGAGAGGGGCCCUCAUGCUGACUACAAUGAGUUUCUGACCAGCUCAGCAGCAUAGUGUUUUAGAGUCGAAUUUAAUGCAGAAUUUAAUGAAGACGAAUUAAUAAAAAUAAUUUUUCACACCUCUAUAUUUGUCA